RNAcentral lists this long non-coding RNA (617 nucleotides) under Ananas comosus (pineapple). Its description in RNAcentral is "long non-coding RNA (ACOM_LNC032037)". The record is from RNAcentral. Lineage: Eukaryota; Viridiplantae; Streptophyta; Magnoliopsida; Poales; Bromeliaceae.
UAAUAAGAUAAAAAAUAAGAGUAGGACUACUAUACUCUUAUGAGUAGUGGACCCUUAAUACUCAUAAGUUGUUUUUCGAUGAUGGAGCUUUCGAAUCGACGAUUCACUCCGUUAAAUAUGAUUUAGAGUAUUUGAAACUUCUAUAAAAUAAAUUUCGUAAUUUUUCGAAAUCAUAAUAAAGUCCAUCGAGCGAGCAUAAAAUGAACGGUCAAAAUCGAACGACAUCCUAAAAAUGGAUGAUCGGAUAUUUCAAUUUAAGAUCGGAGUUAUUAGUCUUUAUCUAGAUAGUGAAUAAAAUUUUCUAUCAAAAAUUCAACCUAUUCCAAUUUUUUUCCACCGUUAAACUAGCAAGUAUCCCAUACCGGUCAUUAAAAAUUGUCAAUUUUGUAAGCUUUUGAUCGUAAGGUAAAUGAUGUCGAAAAAUUAUGAAAUUGAAUUUCUAGAAGUUUUAAAUGCUCUAGAUAACGUUUAACGGUGUGGAUCGUCGUUUCGGCAGCUCUAUCAUCGAAAACAACUUAUGAGUACAAGAGCGAUCGUACUCAUGAGAGUAUAGUAGUCGGACUCUAAAAAAUAAUUCUUACUUAAUUCAAUAGAUCGAUCAAAAUAGAUUAUAGAGU